Molecule: long non-coding RNA, 924 nt
Filed under: Setaria viridis
Lineage: Eukaryota; Viridiplantae; Streptophyta; Magnoliopsida; Poales; Poaceae
Description: long non-coding RNA (SVIR_LNC006599)
Source: RNAcentral
UACUUUUCCAGCACGAGGCUAAGAAGACUCCAAGCACGAAGUUAAGAGGUCUACUGGCACGAGGCUAAAGAUACAAAGGCGUUAAAAGCAUGACUACAAGGAGGUGUGAGAAGCGUGAACCCCCAGAGGCAUGAUUAGCUUGGCUGCCUGGAGGCGUGAUAAGCGUGAUUCAGCGGGAGAGUUCAAGUUGUACAAUUUACCUCCAAAGACCUUUAUGUAUAGCAUAUUCUAUGAAUGUAGUAGGUGAGAAAGGGUAUUCAUGGUAUGUAAAAUAGCCCCCGGGUCACUAUAAAAGGGGAGCACUAUCCUGUUGUAAAGGGAUGGAUAAUUUUUGGAACGAGACCACGUGUGCUUCUUCUACAUUAUUGUGUUCGAGUCUCCUUGAGAUUUGUUUCCUAACAUUUGCGCCCACCGUGUUCUCAACCACGAAGUAACCCAUGAUGCCACCCUAGAAGAAGAAGAGGACCACCAAGGACGCGAGAGAAUAGGAAAGGCAGCUCGUCCUAGUUGAGCAAGACAAUAAUGACAAGAUGGAAAAACUAAAAAGAGUCGAGGCCAACUUAAGAACAAGAAGCAAGAAAAAGAGAAUUGAAGCAGAGACCUCGAGCCAAGCACAACCACAAACAAACACACAAAAUGCUCCUCUCGGAGAAACAGACGAGGAACUAGCCUCAGCACUUAAGCAGCUAGAAACAUUGAAGAAGGAAAAAGAAAAAUUCGCUCAAGAACUCCAGGCGCAAAAAUUAGUAGCCAACAAUCUAGCAAUGUUGAACGAGGCUAAAUGACAACUAGCAGAGUUGCAACAAGAGCUGAAUGAGUUGCAAUACUUGCACAACACACCACAACCACCACUUCUGGGGUUGACCACCAAUGACACACCCACCAUACACCCAAAUCCCAGCUUCGUUGGACAUAAUACCCCGG